This 2108-nucleotide long non-coding RNA is filed under the name Homo sapiens (human). Its description in RNAcentral is "MIR2113 host gene (MIR2113HG)". Lineage: Eukaryota; Metazoa; Chordata; Mammalia; Primates; Hominidae. The record is from RNAcentral.
ACACACACACUCUCUCUUUCUCAUUCUCCUUUCCCUCCUCUCCAUCUCCCUAUUGCAUUGUGUCUGACUGAUUUUCAGAGCACCUUCGCUGUUUCCCCCUUCUCGUUCCCUUCUCAUAAAAUAUCUAGACAGGAAGGAGGUGGCUGCAGAGGCUGAACAAUCUCAUAUUCUGCCUGCAAUGUCAUCGUUUCUUUCCCCCAUUUUAGGGGGCUGAAGUUGCCCAGCAAGGGAUGCAGAGGAGCUGGAAAAGAAGGGGGGAGCUCUCCAGAGGCAGCUGCGGUCAGGGGCAGGGACUGCCGCCAGAUGUGCCUGCCUUUCUGGGCUUUGAUGAGAAAGGGGCAGCAGGAGGAAAUAUUGGGAGACAAAAGCCCCGGUUUAAAUGAUCAUUUUCUUUAUUUAACAUGGCAGCAGACACUCUCUGCGUAGGAUCAUCAUGCCGAGCAUAAACUGGACUUUCCCACUUGCCUGGCAGGAGUCACACAGAUCCCUGCGUGCUAAAUGAACAUCUGAGGUUUUGGUAUCAGGAUGAUGCUGGCAUCAUAAAAUGAGUAUUUUUCUUCAGACUUCAGACUGCUGUGCUGGAAGCAAGAAUUUCAAGCAUUGGAUCUUAGCUUGCUGGGCUCCAUAGGGGUGGGAUCCACUGAGCUAGACCACUUGGCUCCCUGGCUUCAGCCCCCUUCCAGAUGUCCUUGGCGUGUACACCCUGUGGAAUCUGGUUCAUCUUCAAUCUGUCAGAAGGCAUCAGAGGUGGUUUUGACUCCUUAUGUCUUGGACCUGUGCACAAAAAGUGUAAAAUGGAUGGAACAUCAGACAGCUCAUUAUAGAGACAAGUAAGCUCCAGUUCCAAAGUUGGUUGACAGAACAAGUCAUGACCUUGUGUGGAGGAAAAUGAGAUCCCGAGUGAAGUCUACAAUGUCAUUGACUCUGAAGAAGGACUCAGAGACCCAUUGGUGUUUAAUGACCCUUACUGGCCUAUGCAAUGGAAACUGGUAUGAUCUUCAGAAAUAGAUGGUUCUUUGGCAGUGUUAAGAAAUAUUAUUUUUGUCAUGUUCUAAUGCAGUAGAUAGGCACUUUUAUGCACUGCCUGCUUUUAUCUAUUGGUUUUGCAGAGAGAGACUUAGCAAACUUUUGAUGAAAUAUUACUGCCAUCUUAUUAAUGAACACUAAUCCUUUUAAUUUGAUUACAUCCUUAGGGUUUGAUUUAAUCUAUAAAAGACACCAGUAAAAACCCCAAGAUAUUUAAAUUUGGUGUGUGUAAACAGACUCAUUACAUAGAAAUGUUGUUGCCAUUCAGGCUUGAAGUUUUUGUUCUUGCAUAACUUAGAAUAUAUUCUAUAUUACAUCAAUACUGAGAGAACUUGUCUUUAUGGAUUAAGUGGAUGUUAGAACAUUGCCCAACAGACUUUUUUUCAUAAUGCUUAUUUUGUUGGACCUUUUAGUAUCACAUUGCCCUCCCAUUUAUAUAAGACGGUAAUAAUGAAAAGGUUUGAGAAAAGCACCCUUAAUUUUGAAUGCAAAUAAGUUUAAAAAAAUGAUGUACAUACCAUGGAAAAUUUUAUAAGGAAACAUUUAAAAUGUGAAGAUAACUUGGUGAUAAUAUUGGAGAGAAAUUACAACCUUAUUAUAUGCAUAAUUAGUUCUUCAUAGGUCUGCAGAUUAUAUUGUGUUGUAGAGGGUCCAAUGUUGCAAAAUGAGGAAAAGGUUAGGUGCAUUUUAUCAUUUUAAGGGCCAUGAUGAGAUAAAACAUGGUAAGCUGUUGUGCUGGCUCUUUUUAUGUUGAUCAUUGGCAGUUACCAAGCUGACUAUCUGACAUGAGCUGAAAACCUAUGUUGAAAAAAUGUCCAGUUCCAUUUUAUGUAGCUUCAACUCAUCUUUAAAAAAUGAAGUGAUUUAGAACACAUGUCACGCACUCCUGGGCCAGCCAGCUUCCCUUUCUCUCCUCGUAUGUAAUAUCUUUUUUUCCCCUUUCUAGCAAGUACUUUCAAAAGAACUCUGUACAUUUUAACAUAAAAAAUAAAUUAUGUUGGGCCAUUUUGGAAAAAAAAUACUUAUUUGGCUAAAUUUAACAUUUCAAACAAAUAAAAAAUUCAAGCAGAAAAUAAAAAAAA